Molecule: RNA transcript, 5909 nt
Organism: Cercocebus atys (sooty mangabey)
Lineage: Eukaryota; Metazoa; Chordata; Mammalia; Primates; Cercopithecidae
Gene: ASB1
Gene name: ankyrin repeat and SOCS box containing 1
Exons: 6
Source: RefSeq, a predicted model, not a curated record
GAGCCUUUCAAAGUCAUCCAUGCAUGUUGGAAUCAACUUCUUUCAAACUCCUGUUGAUAUUUUGACCUCCCAUGAAUCACAGAUGUUCUAAAUGACAUCUGAAUUGGUGAAUCCUUUCCAGAAGGCUUUCAGUUCAGUUUUGCCCAGAUCCAUCUGAGGAACCACUACCUAUGGCAGCAAUAGCCUGACAAAAUGUAUUAAAUGAUGCUAACACAUGAAGGUCAGAAUGACUCCUUGAUCCUUUGGCUGCGGAAUGGCUGUGUUCGCAGGCAUGAAAACAGCAUGAGUCUUGUAUAUCUCCAUGAGAGCUCUUGGGUGACUAGGCGUAUUGUCAGCAAGCAGUACUAUUUUGAAAGGAAUCUUCUGAGCAGUAGGUCUCAACAGUGGGCUGAAAAUAUUCACUAAACCAUGCUGUGAACAGAUGUGCUGACACCUGGGCUUUGUUGAUCCAUUUACAGUGCACAGGCAGAAGGAGUUUUGGAAUGGUGAAUGAGCACUGACUUCCACUUAAAGUCACCAGCUGCGUUAGCCCCUAACGAGAGUCAACUUGUCCUUUAAAGGUUUGAUGCUAGGCAUUGACUUCUCCUCUCUAGCUAUGAAAGUCCUAGAUGGCAUCUUCCACAUUGAAAAUCUGUUGUUUAAUGAAAGACUGUAAAACUCAAAGACAACACAAAAGAACAGAAUAAGCAGAAAAAACACCAAGUAGCCACCUUCAUCAGUUAUCUUAGCCAUGUCUUCUGGAUAACUUGCUGCAGCAUCCACAUCAGCACUUGCUGCUUGACUUUGAACUUUUGUGUGAUGGAGAUGGCUUCUUUAAACCUCGUGAACCAACCUCUGCUGCCUUCAGACUUUGCUUCUGCACCUUCCUCAGUUCUCUCAGGCUUCAUAGAAUUGGAGAGAGUUAGGGCCUUGCUCUGGAUUAGGCUUUGGUCUAAGGGAAUGUUGUGGCUGGUUUGAUCGUAUCUCCAGACCACUGAGACUUCCUCUGUAUCAGCAAUAAGGCUGUUUUGCUUUCUUAUCAAUUGUGUCUUCACGGGGGUAGCACUUUUAAUUUCCCUCAAGCUCUUUUUCCUUUGCAUUCACAACUUGGUCGUUUGGCACAAGAAGCCUGUCUUUGAACCUUUCUCAGCUUUCCACAUGCCUUUCUCAUUAAGAUUCGUCAUUUCCAUCUUUUAAUUUUAAAGUGAGAGAUGUGUGACUGUUUCUUUAACUUGAACACUCAGAAGCCGUUGUAGGGUUAUUAAUUAGCCUAAUUUCAAUAUGGUGUCUGGGGAACAGGGAGGCCUGAGGAGAGAGAGGGAGCAGCUGGUUGGUGGAGCAGUCAGAACACAGACCACGUUGAUGGAUUAAGUUAAUUGUCUCAUAUGGCACAGUUUGUGGCACCCCAAAACAAUUACAAUAGUAACAUCACAAAUCACUCAUCACCAUAAACAGAUAAAAUAAUAAUGAAAAAGUUUGACAUAUUGCAGGAAUUACCAGAUUGUGACCCAGAAAACACAAAAUGGCCACAUCCUGUUGGACAAAUGGCACCAAAAGACUUGCUCAGCACAGAGUUGCCACAACCUUCAGUUUGUAAAAAAACACAAUUGCCUGUGAAGCUUGAUAAAGUGAAAUGCAGUGAAAUGAAGGCUGCCUGUAUUAAGCUGUUUAUACUGAGGUCUUUCUGGGCAGCUGAUGGUUUGAUUUAUCUUUUUUAUUCUGGUCGUAAUCUGAAGGAGUGGCUGAGGGAGCAGUUUUGUGAUCACCCGCUGGAGCACUGUGAGGACACGAGGCUCCAUGAUGCAGCCUACGUCGGGGACCUCCAGACCCUCAGGAGCCUGUUGCAAGAGGAGAGCUACCGGAGCCGCAUCAAUGAGAAGUCUGUCUGGUGCUGUGGCUGGCUCCCCUGCACACCGCUGCGAAUUGCGGCCACUGCAGGCCAUGGGAACUGUGUGGACUUCCUCAUCCGGAAGGGGGCCGAGGUGGAUCUGGUGGACGUAAAAGGACAGACGGCCCUGUAUGUGGCUGUGGUGAACGGGCACCUAGAGAGUACCCAGAUCCUUCUUGAAGCUGGCGCGGACCCCAACGGAAGCCGGCACCAUCGCAGCACCCCCGUGUACCACGCCUCUCGCGUGGGCCGGGCCGACAUCCUGAAGGCCCUUAUCAGGUAUGGGGCUGAUGUUGACGUCAACCACCACCUGACUCCUGACAUCCAGCCCCGAUUCUCCCGGCGGCUCACUUCCUUGGUGGUCUGCCCCUUGUACAUCAGCGCAGCCUACCACAACCUCCAGUGCUUCCGGCUGCUCCUCCUGGCAGGAGCGAACCCUGACUUCAACUGCAAUGGUCCUGUCAACACACAGGGAUUCUACAGGGGCUCCCCUGGGUGCGUCAUGGAUGCUGUUCUGCGUCACGGCUGUGAGGCAGCCUUCGUGAGCCUGCUGGUGGAGUUUGGAGCCAACCUGAAUCUAGUGAAGUGGGAAUCAUUGGGCCCAGAGUCGAGAGGAAGAAGAAAGGUGGACCCUGAGGCCUUGCAGGUCUUUAAAGAGGCCAGAAGUGUUCCCAGAACCUUGCUGUGUCUGUGCCGUGUGGCUGUGAGAAGAGCUCUUGGCAAAUACCGGCUUCAUCUGAUUCCUUCGCUGCCUCUGCCAGACCCCAUAAAGAAGUUUCUACUUCAUGAGUAGACUUCAAGUGCUGCAGUUGAUUCCAGCAAGGGAGAAGGUGAUCUGCAGAGAAGGUGGACACCAAACCCUGAGUGCUGUGCUGCUGGUGGUAUCCUGAUGGCUGUUGCUACUGAAGGUGUCGUCGUGGACUGUCAUUGCUCCUCAGGAGCCCACCCUGGUUUCAUCCCUAAGCUGGCCUGCUCUUCCCAGAGUGUGUUUCGUCAGCUGCAUCUCUGAACAGCAGUAACCGCAGCCGUGUUGAGGCCCUUCCCUCAGCCACCCUGGAGGUAGGACCCAGGUCCCCAGUUUUUACGUGAGAAAGUGGCUUCAGUGAGUCCGUGGCUUCAGUCACACCCCGAGGUCCCACAGUGAGGGAGUGGGUGCAGGGCCCCUGCACUUGACCUCUGACCUGCUGCCCCUCCGAGGGUCUCUGUUAGUUCGCUCUGGUUGGGGCAGUCGGUUCUCCUCAGUUUCCGCUAACAGAGCUGGGUGGGCCUGCCUGGUGCCGGCUUUGCGGCUUGCUUGCUGGGGCAGGUGGUGGAGAGCGAGCACCCAUUUAACCUACUAGAAAGGGGUCUCUGGAGGUGGGCGCCUCAGGGAGCGGAGAGAGGCAGGGGCUGUGCCCGCCCUCCACCUCCCCGCCACCCCAGGACCUUCUCUGCCACGGCCUGCUGAAGUGGGGGUCAGCACAGAAGAUUCCGGAAGGUCUCCUCACUUGGCUGCCCUCCUUCGGGUGUUUUUUCAUCUUGAUUUCUUUUGGGAGGAGCCUAGAUACUUUUACUUUUAAAAUAAGCCUUGUAUCUUCUCACUCUUUAAACACCACAAAAUGGGUGGCAUUAUUAAAAUACAAAAAAACCUCUGCAAACUAUAACUUUCCUGUGCACAACGGAGAAGACCGAUUUUAAAAGUGGAGCAGGUGUUUUUUAUGUUGUGCACACUUAGUAUAAGCAAACUGAGCAAUCUGAAUAAGCCCGAGUGCCCCUUUGCUCCCAUAUUUGUGUCUAAUGCUGACAGUUUUGUGGAAAAGCUGUUUUUACGAUUCUGAAGUACCUACACCCCUCCCUUGUGUAAAAUUUAAUCACAUCUUAUUGCAUCCGGCAUUAACACUCAUAGUUUAUUGAGGAGUGUUCUCUGGAGCUUGCUGAGCAUGGGGUUGUGAAGUGAUGCCUGGGUGCCUGGGAGGAGGUGAUAUGUAAGUCCAGACACUGUACGCAGGGAAUGAAACAUUCCCCCGAAUUCCGGGAACACACCGGCUCCCAGCCUCAAGGUUCCCAUCUGGAGGGUCUCACCUCCCAAGGUAACAGCAUCGUUUUCCCAGCUUGAAGAGUGAGAUGUGGGACAUGGAGCUGGCCUUUCCUGUCCCUCGCGCUGUGGGAGGCAUCCAUGGAGGUGUGUGCGAGCUGCUCCCGGAGCUCCUGGGAUCAGGCCCCGGGGGAUGUGCUCAGGCCCAGUGGGGGCAGGUCUGCAGGGCCACAUUCAGACAUGACAGCACUGGGAAGGGCCACACCAUGCAUGGCCCCAUGGGGCAGAACACCCCCAAGAGGCCACCAGGGGUUGGCUGGCAGAUGGUUCCACACUCCAUUCUCAUCAGCACCUCUCAGGGGAGGGCUGGGCCCUGGGAGCGGCUCUUGCAGGGAGGAGGGCCUCUGGCACACUGUGAGGGACAAACAGUGAAGUGGCUGCACCUGCAACAUCAGACCGGCCCUCCAGAAUAGUGGCCAGGACCCCUGCCCGGUGUCCAGCGGCAGUGGUGAGGGCAGGCCUGGGUGUCCAGGAGCAGGAGACGUGGGACAGAGGAGCCCUCAACGAGACCCGUGUUCUCUUGUGUUCGAGCAAGACCCCAGGCAGCGGCGUGGAGGUCAGUGAAGCUGGGCAGUCGCUUCUGUCCAGAGCUGGGAGGCAUAGGGGGGCCCUCUGUGGAUUGGGAGUGUGACGGCCCUGUCUGGAGCUGGGAGGCGGGGGGCCCCUCCGAGGGUCGGGAGUGUAAUGACCCUGUCUGGAACUGGGCAGCCCCCGAUCCCUGGCACUUCUGGGCUUAGAGGACGCCUUGGCUGCUUCAGGGGUUGGCCUCAACUACGCUUCUGGCCGUACUGGGAGCGAGGCAGUGUUGCGGGGCUGGCUCAGGAGCCCUGCCUGAUGUGCUGUGAUCAUCUUGAGGACAGUCUCCUCAGCCAGGUUGGUGGUCACCCUGUUUGGGUGUUGGGUGCCAGGUGCUGGACUCCACUGGGCAGCACAGGGGACACAGCUUCUAGGUCCAGGCUGCUGCUCGCAGGUGAGGCGGCUAGAAUGGCGGCCCCGAGAGUGAUGUGUAUCCAGAGCGUGAGGAUGUGACCUCAUGGGCAAAAGGGUCUGCAAGAUAAAAUUAAGGAUCUUAAGAUAAUCUUGAAUGAAGGUGAGCCCUGAAUCCAAUGGCAAAUGUCCUUGUAAGAGACAGAAGAGGACAGACACAAACAUGAGGAGAAGGCGAUGUGAAGACAAUGCCGGGUGUGGGAAAGUUGGGGCCACAUCCAGGAGUGCUGGCAGCACCCGGGAGCUCCCCGGGAGGGCGCACCCUGUCCACAGCUGUGCUCUCACUUGCAAACCUGCAGUCAUCCCCAGGCCAGGGACCGCUUCUGGGGAACCCAAUUCACGACAGGCUGUAACUGGACUUAGGGCUGGAACCACACUGCGGAAGGUAGGGUGGGCUUCUGACCACUGGCUGAAGGGGUCUGCCUGACGGUUGGGCGAGGCCCAUCGUUCUACUGAUGCACAGACGCCCGUCCCCGCCUUGUGCCAAGCACUGCACUUUCACGUCUGGAGCUGCUCCCACCCCACUGUGGCUGCUGGUGGGGGCAGUGAAGGUGCUGGAGGAGAACCCGGUGAGGGAUGAUGUCAUUGCAAGGUUUCAUGUGGGCAGAGACUUGUGUUUUUUUUUUUCAAUCUGCCACACAUUUUGCUCACUCUUUUACUUUCAGCGUUUCUGAGUUUUUUUGUUUGUUUUGUUUUAGGGCAGGAAUCAGCAGUGUUUCCUGUAAAGGGACAGAUAGUGAAUAUUCUAGGCCUUGUGAGCCAUUCGGUCCUUGACACACAUACUCAACACUGCUGUAUUGUGAGAAAGCCACAGUGGGUGUGGCUGUGUUCCAGUGAAACUUUAUUUACACAAGCAGGAAGUGAGGCUGGAUUUGGACCAAAGGCAGUUUGCUGAGCCUUGUUUAAGGGCUGUAAUUUUUAUUUUUAUUUUUAUUUCUUUUAUUAUUUUUUUUUGAGGCAGUCUCGCUCUUGUCACCCAGG